UAUGGAUAAAGUUGUUUUACGAUGAAAAUAAUGAGUUCUAAUUAUAGGGAACUCAUAAAAUCCUAGUUGGCUAAGAAAUAAUGACUGAAAAUUACAAUAGAUUGGUAAAUAUGGAGUUUUAACAUAAUUAGAAGAUUUCAUGAAUUUUGGAAAAUUUGCGUCACCGCAUGAACUAUGUGUCCGCGUAGUGUUAUCCUAUGCGGUCGCAUAGGCCAUGUUCCAAAUGGCUCAUUGGCCACAGUGUUGGUUGCAUGCCUCUUUCAACUAUGCAAUUGCAUAGUUGAGGCCCUCAGCUCCUUCUUCCAUUACUUGAACUCGUUGGCCCAUUUCAUGUCUUCUUUCGAGCUUAACAUGAAACAUGUUGAUUUUCUUGCCAUGAUCAUUGUUUCGUCCACUGUAGUUUGAGCAAGUAAUCUCAUCGCUUGUUUAAUCCUCUUCACUCGUGACCUAGUCAUGGGCACUUCUUCAACGAUCAACGGAUCCUCGCUUGGAUUUGCUUUUCUGCUAUGGAUAGCAUCAUCCCC
RNAcentral lists this long non-coding RNA (524 nucleotides) under Olea europaea subsp. europaea. The record is from RNAcentral. Lineage: Eukaryota; Viridiplantae; Streptophyta; Magnoliopsida; Lamiales; Oleaceae.